Capsicum annuum is the source of this 141-nucleotide non-coding RNA. The record is from Rfam. NCBI's taxonomy places the organism in Eukaryota, Viridiplantae, Streptophyta, Magnoliopsida, Solanales, Solanaceae.
UUAAGUUAACCACAUAAAAUAUGUCAUCUUCUUUAACUAUACGCAUCACCUCAAGUAAAAAAAGCUUGUCACUUUUUGGAUUUAUUGAGGCGAAUGCGUAUAACUAAAGGAGAUGAUAUAUUUUAUGUGGUUGACUUAACU